GAUCCUGGCUCAGGACGAACGCUGGCGGCGUGCCUAACACAUGCAAGUCGAACGGAGAUGUUUAUUUCGGUAGACAUCUUAGUGGCGCACGGGUGAGUAACGCGUGAAUAACCUGACCCGAAGAGGGGGAUAACACCUGGAAACAAGUGCUAAUACCGCAUAAGACCACGGACCGGCAUCGGUCAGAGGUCAAAGGAGGAAUCCGCUUUGGGAGGGGUUCGCGUCCCAUUAGGUAGUUGGUGAGGUAACGGCCCACCAAGCCGACG
Molecule: ribosomal RNA, 266 nt
Filed under: uncultured bacterium
Lineage: Bacteria
Description: partial 16S ribosomal RNA
Rfam family: Bacterial small subunit ribosomal RNA
Source: RNAcentral